AUUUGUUCAUGUACAUAGUUGUUUUUACAGAAAUAUAUGAAAAACAUUUUGCAUAUCUUAUAUAAAGCAAAUGUGGUUUAGUCAUUUCUGAAAGCACGGGCAAACCAGCCAGUUCUGUGGGGUUGUGUCUUUGUUGUAUUUUGGGGGGUUUAUCACAUCCAUCACGCUGAGAGGUGUAUUUGCCUUUUUUCUUCAAGCAGGAGUUUCAGCGUUAACCGUCUGCACACAUCUCAUUUGGGAGUUACCUUUGGGCUAUGUAUUCCCUCAAGUUUGGUCAACUGUGUCACCUUUUGAAAAAAAGAAGUCUGUGGGCCUGCAUUUAACAUAGAGCUUGAUAAGAAAAUUCUUCAAAGAGUCUAUUUGAUCAAGGCCUGAGUGUGGCUGUUCGGUAACAUCUGCCCAUGGCUGGGCAGGCUCUGCAUUCCUUCUGGGGGGCAAAGCUUUUGACAGGAAAAAUAAAUGUGAAGCAAAGUCUUUCUUCACGUUGAAGGACCAAUGCCAAAAGGAAUGGAGCAUUUUCACAGAAAUAAACAGAAGUCGAUGGAGGCGUGCACCAACCAAUAUAUUAUGCUUUCUCGGUAAGGAGGACAUAGGGCCUAUUUUGAGCCUUUAUUUGUCAAGAAGAUAAAUGCAUGUCACUGAGAAGAGAUGUAAGUAUCAUCCAGCAGUCACAACUCUGUAAGUACAAAGACUUGAAAGAUGUCUUCUCCAAGGCAUGCUGAUGUAGUUGCUACUAUGGAAGGCAAAUAAAAAGUGGAUAAGGAUCAGGGACUUGUUUAUUGGUGGCUUCAUGUACACAUUCACAUUCAACAUCUCUGAUACUCAAGAGCUAUUCUAGGAAUCACC
Molecule: long non-coding RNA, 846 nt
Filed under: Aquila chrysaetos chrysaetos
Lineage: Eukaryota; Metazoa; Chordata; Aves; Accipitriformes; Accipitridae
Description: lncRNA (ENSACCG00020003502.1)
Source: RNAcentral